Molecule: ribosomal RNA, 253 nt
Filed under: uncultured bacterium
Lineage: Bacteria
Description: partial 16S ribosomal RNA
Rfam family: Bacterial small subunit ribosomal RNA
Source: RNAcentral
UACGAAGGGGGCUAGCGUUGCUCGGAAUCACUGGGCGUAAAGGGUGCGUAGGCGGGUCUUUAAGUCAUGGGUGAAAUCCUGGAGCUCAACUCCAGAACUGCCUUUGAUACUGAAGAUCUUGAGUUCGGGAGAGGUGAGUGGAACUGCGAGUGUAGAGGUGAAAUUCGUAGAUAUUCGCAAGAACACCAGUGGCGAAGGCGGCUCACUGGCCCGAUACUGACGCUGAGGCACGAAAGCGUGGGGAGCAAACAGG